This 1332-nucleotide ribosomal RNA is filed under the name uncultured bacterium. RNAcentral describes it as "bacterial SSU rRNA". It matches the Rfam family "Bacterial small subunit ribosomal RNA", at positions 28 to 1381 of the family's 1533-position model. The record is from RNAcentral.
GACGAACGCUGGCGGCGCGCCUAACACAUGCAAGUCGAACGAGCGAGAGAGAGCUUGCUUUCUCGAGCGAGUGGCGAACGGGUGAGUAACGCGUGAGGAACCUGCCUCAAAGAGGGGGACAACAGUUGGAAACGACUGCUAAUACCGCAUAAGCCCACGGCUCGGCAUCGAGCAGAGGGAAAAGGAGCAAUCCGCUUUGAGAUGGCCUCGCGUCCGAUUAGCUAGUUGGUGAGGUAACGGCCCACCAAGGCGACGAUCGGUAGCCGGACUGAGAGGUUGAACGGCCACAUUGGGACUGAGACACGGCCCAGACUCCUACGGGAGGCAGCAGUGGGGAAUAUUGCACAAUGGGGGAAACCCUGAUGCAGCGACGCCGCGUGGAGGAAGAAGGUCUUCGGAUUGUAAACUCCUGUUGUUGGGGAAGAUAAUGACGGUACCCAACAAGGAAGUGACGGCUAACUACGUGCCAGCAGCCGCGGUAAAACGUAGGUCACAAGCGUUGUCCGGAAUUACUGGGUGUAAAGGGAGCGCAGGCGGGAAGACAAGUUGGAAGUGAAAUCUAUGGGCUCAACCCAUAAACUGCUUUCAAAACUGUUUUUCUUGAGUAGUGCAGAGGUAGGCGGAAUUCCCGGUGUAGCGGUGGAAUGCGUAGAUAUCGGGAGGAACACCAGUGGCGAAGGCGGCCUACUGGGCACCAACUGACGCUGAGGCUCGAAAGUGUGGGUAGCAAACAGGAUUAGAUACCCUGGUAGUCCACACCGUAAACGAUGAUUACUAGGUGUUGGAGGAUUGACCCCUUCAGUGCCGCAGUUAACACAAUAAGUAAUCCACCUGGGGAGUACGACCGCAAGGUUGAAACUCAAAGGAAUUGACGGGGGCCCGCACAAGCAGUGGAGUAUGUGGUUUAAUUCGACGCAACGCGAAGAACCUUACCAAGUCUUGACAUCCCUUGACAGACAUAGAAAUAUGUUUUCUCUUCGGAGCAAGGAGACAGGUGGUGCAUGGUUGUCGUCAGCUCGUGUCGUGAGAUGUUGGGUUAAGUCCCGCAACGAGCGCAACCCUUAUGGUCAGUUACUACGCAAGAGGACUCUGGCCAGACUGCCGUUGACAAAACGGAGGAAGGUGGGGAUGACGUCAAAUCAUCAUGCCCUUUAUGACUUGGGCUACACACGUACUACAAUGGCGUUAAACAAAGAGAAGCAAGACCGCGAGGUGGAGCAAAACUCAGAAACAACGUCCCAGUUCGGACUGCAGGCUGCAACUCGCCUGCACGAAGUCGGAAUUGCUAGUAAUCGUGGAUCAGCAUGCCACGGUGAAUACGUUCCCGGGCCU